This 427-nucleotide ribosomal RNA is filed under the name uncultured bacterium. RNAcentral describes it as "bacterial SSU rRNA". It matches the Rfam family "Bacterial small subunit ribosomal RNA", at positions 355 to 774 of the family's 1533-position model. The record is from RNAcentral.
UGGGGAAUUUUGGACAAUGGGCGAAAGCCUGAUCCAGCCAUGCCGCGUGAGUGAAGAAGGCCUUCGGGUUGUAAAGCUCUUUUAGUCGGAAAGAAAGAGUUGCAAUGAAUAAUUGUGAUUUAUGACGGUACCGACAGAAAAAGCACCGGCUAACUACGUGCCAGCAGCCGCGGUAAUACGUAGGGUGCGAGCGUUAAUCGGAAUUACUGGGCGUAGAGGGUGCGCAGGCGGUCUUGCAAGUCAGAUGUGAAAGCCCCGGGCUUAACCUGGGAAUUGCGUUUGAAGCUACAAGGCUAGAGUGCAGCAGAGGGGAGUGGAAUUCCAUGUGUAGCAGUGAAAUGCGUAGAGAUGUGGAAGAACACCGAUGGCGAAGGCAGCUCCCUGGGUUGACACUGACGCUCAUGCACGAAAGCGUGGGGAGCAAACA